Molecule: long non-coding RNA, 2504 nt
Organism: Corvus hawaiiensis (hawaiian crow)
Lineage: Eukaryota; Metazoa; Chordata; Aves; Passeriformes; Corvidae
Exons: 3
Source: RefSeq, a predicted model, not a curated record
GCUGGGGCAGGGCCCGUGGCCCGGCACCACCGGCCCGGCCCGGCCCGGCCCGGCCCUGCCCGGGAAAGCUCUCCCAGGGCAACGGGGCGGCCCCGGGCCGGCAGCCGCUCACACGGAGCUCUGCGUGCGGGUGACUGGAAGGGUUUUCCGGAGCAGCCUGUGCCAUCCCCGGGGCUGUAGCGCACUCGCCGCAGCCCCCGGGCACCGCCGGGCCCAGGGCCGUGGCCGCCACCGCCACAAGGGUCUGCCCUGUUGCCAGGGGCCCUCGGCCCCUCCGGCAGCGCCCCGGCAGCGCGGGGUCCCUCGGCUCCGUGGGCAGCCCCGCUCUCCCUGCAGCGCAGCGCCCUGCCCAAGGCCCACGGACCGGCCCGGGGCAGCCAGCGUCGGGCAGCUGCCUCCCAACUCAGCCCUCGCUGCUUCGGCCUCCCCGCAGGGAGCGGGAUGAAGGAACUGAGACGGACAAACUUCCCCCGAACAAACCGAACGGAGCCGUUUUGAUCAAAAACGUGCGGGAACAAACCGCGUGAACAACCAUGCAGCCUCUCCCCUACCUUAUCAUUCCAAUUACAUUCUCCUAAUCUACAAAAUUGAAAGAUAAUAUUCACCAGAAAAAGAGAAUUCAAACUCUACAGAUUAGACCUUCAUUGGUGCACAUUCCUCUAUCAACAACUCGUCUGUCCCAGCUGUGGUAUUCAGAAGAGUGUUUCCAGUUCUUUGGGAAAUCUUUCUAAGAAUUACUACAAGACCCUCCUUUGUCCUCCAUCCUGCAACAUCAUGAAGGUCCUGUAAUCAUACUGAGAAUUUGCUUCUCUUGUGAAUAUCCUCAGUGUUCAAGUGUAUUUCCAGGAAGGAUGUGCAGCACUGAGAGUCUGAGCAGAACACAGCGCUUGAUCCUUCGGGGGACCCUCUCGCAAGUCCAUUUUGAAUUCCUCUGAAGUUUAAAAAAAAAUACCUAAACUCACUGAAAAAUGAAGAGCUGAUCCAGGCUGAUGUUCUCCCAGUCCUUUUUACAUGCCCCAUCUCCAGAGUGCCAAUGCACUCAAGCACUUAAGAUGUAAACCUUCCGUGACACAGACCAUGAACGUACACAAGAAAAAAGGCUUAGACACAACAGCCACCCCCAGGAACCAGCAGGUUUACUCCCUGCUCUCUGCAGUGCCUUUUGCCACUACACCAACCAUUUUGUCCUCAGUCUUGUCAAGUGAAGGCACAACACUUAGGAAAAUACAUCUCUCUUUUUUUCUGGUCUGCAAGUCAGCAUUAUCUGAUUUGGUCUACUUCCUACAGCUUGUUCAGUCUCGCUUAUCAGACACACUGGAAAAUAUUUCCAAUAAUAAGCCAGUAGAAAUCUGCCUUCAUAUCUGGUGUCAGGCUACAUAUAACAGAAAUCUUUUCAUUUUAGUUUUAAAGUAUUGCUUCAUUCAACAAGCCGACUGCUGGCUGACACACAGUCUAAUCUAAAGGCUAUGGAUCAGCCGGUAAAUGCAGAAAUUCUAUUAGUUUCCAGACCUGAGGUUUACGCCUUUCAUUUCAAAUGAAAUCAAAAUCCUACACAUGAAUAGGUAAAGCACAGAGUAAAGAUCCUUUCUUGAAACCAUCCACUACAUAUUACAUGAGUGCAAGGAAGAAAGCAGUUUCUGCAUCUUGUAGAUACUGUAUUUCUUGUGCUCAAUGACUCUGGCAAGGAUGGUAAACAGCAGACAUAAAAGAGAUCCAUUUUGAGGAAAAAUUAAAACCAUGACGAACAUUAUAUUAGGCAACGUGAAAUCCUGCAAAGGUACAAAGACAGGCAUAUUCAGAUAUGCUUGGUAUUAACAAAACCUCUCUAAGCUUGGAUAAAUUUGACUUUCUUACCUAAAUUCGAUUUUAAAAGUCAUAAUCAAACUUGUCUAUGCUUUAAACGUUUUGGAAAUGAGCAUCCUCAUUUAGGACCAGUAGAAGGAAAUAGUGCAAAAGUGCAUAUUACAAAGUAUCCAGAAUAUUGAGAAGAGUAUUUCUUUUUCCAAACUGAAAGAAACACCACCAACAAAAAGAGAUUUCAUUCCUUUGUUCUUUCUAGAAGUGUACAUAUCCAGCUUUAUAUAUAAAUACAAGAGAUUUAGGAGUGAUUGACUCCUAACUUCAUUUUGCUGUUAGCUCUAAAGAUAUAUGUUCACUGGAAGUUCCCAGAGCACAGGCAUCAGCAUUUUGACACAGUAUAUGGAAUGAAUCCCCAAAUUAAUAGCAGAGAGUAUAAUUCACUUCUGGUGUGGUUUUCCUUCACAAUGGUGGAUCAUGAUAAUCUUAGAGCAAGAAAAUCAAUUGUGAUUACAUGAUCACACUAAUAGUGGUUUGAUUAUUUUUGCUGUAGGUCUUAUUCUGUGCAUUCAGUUAAGGAAAUUGUUCCAUGGCUUUGCUAUUUAUUCAGGAAAAAAAAUACAGAAUAAAAGCAUGACUUUUUGUUCCUUGAAAAUUUAGCUGUAAUAUUUGUCUUUGGAGUAUGUCAUUAAACAGUAAAGAAGCUU